Molecule: RNA transcript, 3423 nt
Organism: Brassica rapa (field mustard)
Lineage: Eukaryota; Viridiplantae; Streptophyta; Magnoliopsida; Brassicales; Brassicaceae
Gene name: glutathione S-transferase Z1
Source: RefSeq, a predicted model, not a curated record
UAUUUUGUUUUUGACUGAUGAUGAUAUGUAUCAAGUUGGCGUCUCCGAAUUCUCCACUUCUUGUCUGUACUACAAUAAACUCACAAUCGCUUUUGUAUCUGUGAAUAAGAAGAAUCUGUCUCUUGAUCAUGGCAGAGAAGAAGGAGAAGCUGAAGCUCUACUCUUACUGGAAAAGCUCGUGCUCACACCGUGUCCGUAUCGCCCUCACUUUAAAAGGGAUUGAAUAUGAGUACGUACCAGUGAAUCCCCUCAAGAGAGAUGAAUUCUUGAAGAUCAAUCCAAUGGGUGCUGUACCAGCGCUUGUUGAUGGAGACGUUGUGGUUUCUGAUUCUCUUGCCAUCAUAAUGUAUCUAGAUGAGAAGUAUCCUGAGCCACCUCUCUUACCUCGCGACCUCCACAAACGUGCUGUAAACUACCAGGCAGCCAGUAUUGUGUUCUCUGGCAUACAGCCUUAUCAAAAUACGCCUGUUGCUAGGUAUAUUGAGGAGAAGACAAAUGCUGAGGAGAAAACUGCUUGGGUCAGUAACGCUAUCACAAAAGGAUUCACUGCUCUCGAGAAGCUGUUGGUUAGCUGCACUGGAAAAUAUGCGACUGGCGAUGAAGUUUACUUGGCUGAUCUCUUUCUAGCCCCACAGAUCCAUGCAGCUAUCAACAGAUUCCAGAUUAACAUGGAACCGUACCCAACACUUGCAAAAUGUUACGAGUCAUACAAUGAUCUUCCUGCGUUUCAAAACGCAGUCCCAGAGAAGCAGCCUGAUGCUCCUGCUUCCACAAGCUGAUUCUGUGCCACCGUAGUAAGCUACUCUCAGCUCAAUAAUAACUCACAGACAGGCUGAAAGGAAUCUAUACCUCAAGAACAAUUGAAGGUGCUGCUCAAUAUGUCUGCGCGUAUUCAAGUUGCCUCAACCCAAGGUAAGAUGUCACAGUUUGUUAUAUUAUAUUGUAAUCUUUUGUUUAAGAACGCUUAAUUGAGUUCUUGCAUUAGAGCACUCAAAUUAACAGUUUCUUAACAAAAGUUCUUAGUUUAUCUUUAAUAUUUAAAUAUUUAUUAAAAAACUUUAAAUAGAGUUCUAUGGUUAAUGAUGCUCUCAGUUGCUCUAAACAUAAAAGGGAUCACUUAGGAUUGAAAGGGAUCACUUAGGAUUUUGGUUGUAUGUUGAUUAAUCAUUUUUGCAAUUUUUUUUAUCAUUUUGACAUAUUGAAGAAAAAUACACAAAAAUCAAAAUAAUAUACCUAGUUUUAUUAUCCAGUUUUCUUUUGCUUCCAUUAUUUCCAAUACUUGUUGACCUUCGGAAGACGAUAAGAAAGAUCUAUGAGUAGGGUUGAACAUUUUAUCCGUUAAAUUUUAUUCGAUUCGUUAUUCGUUUCGAUUUGAUCUGAAAAUUUCAGAUAUCCGUAAACUUUCGAAGCAAAUCAAAUACUAAAAAUAAAUAUCCGUUAAAAUCAAAGCAAAUCACAAAUAUUAAAAUUUUGGGAAACGGAUAUCCGCUCCGAUCUGAAAAUAUAUAAAUACAUGUGUAUCUUGAUUAUAUUUGAAGUUUUAAAUGUAUAAAAUUAUAUAAUUAUUAUUCUAACAUAUGAUUUGACAAAUUUUAUUCACAUUAUUACUUAUAUAAAAGUAUUACAUAAAAAAAAAUUGUGACAAUUAUAACUUGUUUCUUUAAGUUUUAUUGUAUUAUAAUUGUUAAUUAAGUUUAAAAAAUUUACAAAAUAUGUAGAACCACUACUUCUUUUAAUUUUUUAUUUUCUAUAUCAUGCAAAAAAACUAAUAUUUUAUAAAACAAAUUUGUAUCAAAUUUAAUUUUUAAGAUUAUGUGUAUUAAUCAAAACGGGUGAAAUAUCUAAUCUGAAAGUAUUCGUAAAUAUCUACAAGUAUCUAUUUAUUUUUCAAUGAUAUCCGUAUUUUUUCGAAACUAAAUAAAUCGAAAAAUUAGAAAUCCGUAGAAUACAAAACAAAUAAUAAAUACUUUCUAAACCUGGAUAUUCGAACCCGUCCAGCCCUAUCCGUGAGAGAUUUCAGUAAAUACACAAAAUACAUAAAUCGGUAUAGAGUAACAUGUCACCGACAAGACUGAACCUGUCGUUUAGAACUCGUUGACUUUCUUAAGAAACUUCCAUAAAACACGUGUAUAGAAUAUAGACAAAGGUACACGCGUGUAAAUAAGACAGAACAAGAUAUGGAUGUACCAGAGAUGUGACGAUAAACAGAGAAUAGUUAAAUACAAAAAGAACAUGAAAAUAUAUUACCGAAUGGAGAAGCGGAUCAAGGUUGCGGAUCAAAACAUAAUAAAUUUCAAACAUACAAAAAUAAGCCCAGUGUAAUUAUUCUAGUGAUAAUAAAUUAAGUCAACGGAAGAAACAGACGAAGAGAUUCACGAGAUACCCCUAUUCUCAUUUAUUUAUGUUUUUGUCAUACAAGAGCCAUUUCUUUCUCUCAGUACAGUUCAUGGCCCGAGUUCUCCGACCACAAUGACCUACAAGGUUAUUCAUGUAUUGUUUGAUAACCAAGUUUUUUUUUUUUUGAACUUUUUGAUAACAAAGUUUACAAUCAAUGUAUUGAUUCCUUUGAAUACCACCCAACAAGGAGGGCGUUUGUUUUUUUGUUAUAAUGUUAUUAACAUAAGAAGGGAAUCACACAAAUAUGCUUGAGCACCGAAAGAUUCGUUAUAUGAAAAUAUCGUGUACUUUCAAAAAUGUUAUUACUUUGAAAAUAAUUGACGAUGGCUAUAGGUCAUAUUCAUGCAUUAAGUUCUGACCCCACAAUUGAAAAUUUAAAAGUUCGAAUUUGUAAUUUUGUGUAAAAGAAGAAUGAUUCUACGAUAAACCUUUUUUUUAAACAUUAUUACGAUAAACUUGCGGCUGCAUUAUUGAAUAUUGGCUGGGCGGUCCAUACAGCACACACACACAAGAUAGACAUAAAACUAAACACCAUACCUAUUUAUGGUCAUUUCAAUGUGAGAUUUUUAACGGUUUAAAUAACUAAUAAUUUAAAAUAUUCAAAAUAUAACAUAUAGAAAAAAUUAAAAAUUUUAUUAUAACUAUAAGUGAAUGUUUAGUUGAUUUCAAUAAAAUAAAAUUAAAAAUGAUAGAAGAUUUACACAAAUUAUUAUCAAAUUUUUGUUGUUCAAAAUCAUUAAUUGUCUAUAUAUUUUAAUCACAUUAAGUAUUUUCGUAGGUUUUAUAUAAGUAGGGGUUAUUGGUUGUAUUUUUAUGGAUUUGAAAAUCUGAACUAAAUCUAGUGUUAUUGGUUCUAUAAUUUUCAAAUCUAUAUUAAAAUCAUGUGUUAUUGGGUUAAUGAUUCAUAAAUUCUAUAUCAAAUCAAGUGUUAUUCAAUCGUACGGAUUUACUAAUAUAUUUGAUUUUAUAAUGGAUUUGAAUGGAUUUGUUUGGUUUUUUUUGUUAAAAAUACAAAGACUCAAAUCU